Molecule: long non-coding RNA, 1216 nt
Filed under: Mustela putorius furo (domestic ferret)
Lineage: Eukaryota; Metazoa; Chordata; Mammalia; Carnivora; Mustelidae
Description: lncRNA (ENSMPUG00000029018.1)
Source: RNAcentral
GAUGGAGCCAACCUUUAUUGGCCCAGGGGGAGGAAAAGAAUUCAGGAAUGGCAAAGUCUGAAGGAGCCAUUUCAUACACGACAAGAAAUAUUAGAGAAGAAUAAAUAAAGUCACUCUUGAGUCCAGCUUGUAAAGUGAUAGUUGAGAUCACCUCAUUUAUGGCAAGUAUUUGCCUGCCUAACCUGACCCUGGAAUGUAGACCCUACAUCACUGGUGAUGGUUCAGCGCUGGAAGGAGAUCUGUCUCGGCCCCAUCUUUUGCACCACUUGGCAUCCUUUGACCUCCUGUUUCCAGAUCCUUCGGCUGCCAAAGGUCGUUUUGGCUUAUGAAAGCUUUCACAGAAUGCUCUACUUUUGGAGACUGGGGGAAGCUGCAGUUAGAAUAAUGCCAGGUAUUUCCUGAAGCACAUUCUCCUCAGAAACCUUACAGCAAGGAAGGUACUGCCAGAGAAGAGGAUGUGGGCAUUUCUCCGUGCUGCCUGAGAUACCAUCUUGGUCGUGAAAGCCUCCAACCUGCAACCCCCACAACAGCAGGUAUGAUUUUCAGGAUCAAACUGGCUACGGUUGUUUUAACAAUGCCCAAAUGUGAGCAAGUAGACAGCAUCACACUUGCCUCGUGGGAGUAUAACUUGGCCUAGAGUUUCAGAAGUAUCAUUUUAUAACAUUUAUCAAAUGUCAUUUCAUUUUAGAAAUUCCUUUUUCAGGAAUGUCUGUCAGGAAUCUGAGAAGGCAGUGUGGUGAAAUGGUUAUAAGCAGAGACUUUGUAGGUCAGAGGAACUGAGUCGGAGCCCUGCCUUCUGCACUUACUGGUUGGCAGGAGGCAAGUGAUUUACCUUCUCAAGGCUGUUCUCUCCUCACGAAUGGAAUGAGACUCAUGACAAUGAGGGUUAAAUGAGGUAACUCAGGUACUUAGCCCAGUGACAGGCACAAAGUAAACAGUAAAUAAAUGAUGGCAAUUAUGACUAUGUUAGAUGUGCACAGAGAUAUUAACUUCAGUAUUACUUAUAGUUGCAGAAAAUUAGAAUCCAGCUAAAUAUCAAGUAGUAGGGCACAGGGUAAAUACAUUUUGUCAUUUAUGCUGUGGAAAACUAUGAAGCAGUUAAUGAUAAUAUUUUGAAGAAUAUUUAAUGACAUAAAAAUGUCCAAUGGGGGAAAAAAGCUAAUGUGUUCCAUUGAUUACUAUAUGAUACUCUGUGCUGGUUUUAAUAUUUUUAAAA